This 72-nucleotide transfer RNA is filed under the name Camelus bactrianus (Bactrian camel). It matches the Rfam family "tRNA". Rfam says of the family: Transfer RNA (tRNA) molecules are approximately 80 nucleotides in length. The record is from Rfam by way of RNAcentral. Lineage: Eukaryota; Metazoa; Chordata; Mammalia; Artiodactyla; Camelidae. RNAcentral also lists the same sequence under 2 other names.
GGAGGUACAGCUCAGUCGUAUAGUGCAUGUUUAGCAUGCACGAGGGCCUGGGUUCAAUCCCCAGUACCUCCA